RNAcentral lists this long non-coding RNA (633 nucleotides) under Aquilegia coerulea. Its description in RNAcentral is "long non-coding RNA (ACOE_LNC001950)". The record is from RNAcentral. Lineage: Eukaryota; Viridiplantae; Streptophyta; Magnoliopsida; Ranunculales; Ranunculaceae.
CCACAAGUAUUUAUAACAAGCUGAAUUUCGGAGUGUCUUUUUUUGUUCUUUACAGAAUAUGAUGUAAAUCUUGCCAGUCAAUGUGAUUUAAAUCUUGGCAGUAAGAAUCAAAAUACUGAACAAGGUAAGAUAAUUGUCUUAUUCUUCAAUUUUGUAGUUGUUACAUAAAAUAGAGUUGCUAACUGCUAUAAAAGCAUCAUUUGUAUACAGGGGUUAUAAAUGGCAAUGUUAAUCCUGGUGUUUUUGAUAUUGAAGAUGACUAUGAUAGUCUAGAGGAUGAAGAUUUUGUUUUAAGUGAAGAUUAUAACCGAUUUGUUAAUGGUGGACACAAGGAGUCUUCUACAAAAACUAGGAACAAGGGAAAGCUACCCGAUAUUGACAUUGAUAGAAUUGAUGCUGAGGAAGCUUAUGAAAGUCCAUGGUCAUAUUCAGAUAAUGAGAGUGAAGAUGAUGGAGAGUUGAGACCAGAAGAGAUCCAAAGGGCCAAAGAGAUAUGUGAAGAUCUGAGCCAUUCAUUUAGAUUAAUCUAAUGAGGGUACGGUUGGUAUAUUAUAAAUAAUUUAUUUAAAAUUAUGACACGUAAAUUAAUAGUGGGGUCAACAGACGGUUUGUUAACAGAAAAGUUGACGGGCU